CCUACGGGAGGCAGCAGUAGGGAAUCUUUCACAAUGGGCGAAAGCCUGAUGGAGCAACGCCGCGUGCAGGAUGAAGGCCUUCGGGUUGUAAACUGCUUUUAUAAGCGAGAAAUAUGAUGGUAACUUAUGAAUAAGGAUCGGCUAACUACGUGCCAGCAGCCGCGGUCAUACGUAGGAUCCGAGCAUUAUCCGGAGUGACUGGGUGUAAAGAGUUGCGUAGGUGGCAUAAUAAGUAGCUAGUGAAAUCUGGUGGCUCAACCAUUCAGACUAUUAGCUAAACUGUUAAGCUCGAGACCGUUAGGGGUAACUGGUAUUUCUAGUGUAGGAGUGAAAUCCGUAGAUAUUAUAAGGAACACCAAUAGCGUAGGCAGGUUGCUGGGACGGUUCUGACACUAAGGCACGAAAGCGUAGGGAGCAAACGGGAUUAGAUACCCGAGUAGUC
RNAcentral lists this ribosomal RNA (442 nucleotides) under uncultured bacterium. RNAcentral's name for it is "partial 16S ribosomal RNA". It matches the Rfam family "Bacterial small subunit ribosomal RNA", at positions 338 to 795 of the family's 1533-position model. The record is from RNAcentral.